GGAGAUGUAGCUCAGUGGAUAAGAGUGUUUGCCUAGCACGCAUGAAGCCCUGGGUUCAAUCCUCAGCCCCUCAU
This 74-nucleotide transfer RNA is filed under the name Neotoma lepida (desert woodrat). It matches the Rfam family "tRNA". From Rfam's summary of the family: Transfer RNA (tRNA) molecules are approximately 80 nucleotides in length. Their secondary structure includes four short double-helical elements and three loops (D, anti-codon, and T loops). Lineage: Eukaryota; Metazoa; Chordata; Mammalia; Rodentia; Cricetidae. The record is from Rfam by way of RNAcentral.